Molecule: ribosomal RNA, 661 nt
Filed under: uncultured soil bacterium
Lineage: Bacteria
Description: bacterial SSU rRNA
Rfam family: Bacterial small subunit ribosomal RNA
Source: RNAcentral
CGAACGCUGGCGGCAGGCUUAACACAUGCAAGUCGAACGGGCGUAGCAAUACGUCAGUGGCAGACGGGUGAGUAACGCGUGGGAACAUACCUCUUGGUUCGGAACAACACAGGGAAACUUGUGCUAAUACCGGAUAAGCCCUUACGGGGAAAGAUUUAUCGCCGAGAGAUUGGUCCGCGUCUGAUUAGCUAGUUGGUGGGGUAAAGGCCUACCAAGGCGACGAUCAGUAGCUGGUCUGAGAGGAUGAUCAGCCACAUUGGGACUGAGACACGGCCCAAACUCCUACGGGAGGCAGCAGUGGGGAAUAUUGGACAAUGGGCGCAAGCCUGAUCCAGCCAUGCCGCGUGAGUGAUGAAGGCCCUAGGGUUGUAAAGCUCUUUUGUACGGGAAGAUAAUGACGGUACCGUAAGAAUAAGCCCCGGCUAACUUCGUGCCAGCAGCCGCGGUAAUACGAAGGGGGCUAGCGUUGCUCGGAAUCACUGGGCGUAAAGGGUGCGUAGGCGGGUUUUUAAGUCAGAGGUGAAAUCCUGGAGCUCAACUCCAGAACUGCCUUUGAUACUGAAAGUCUUGAGUAUGGGAGAGGUGAGUGGAACUGCGAGUGUAGAGGUGAAAUUCGUAGAUAUUCGCAAGAACACCAGUGGCGAAGGCGGCUCACUGGCCC